GAUGAAGAACGCAGCGAAAUGCGAUAAGUAAUGCGAAUUGCAGAAUUUCCGUGAGUCAUCGAAUCUUUGAACGCACAUUGCGCCCACUGGUAUUCCGGUGGGCAUGCCUGUUCGAGCGUCAUUUGUACCUUCAAGCUUUGCUUGGUGUUGGGUGUUUGUCUCGCCUUUGCGUGUAGACUCGCCUUAAAAUAAUUGGCAGCCGGCGUAUUGAUUUCGGAGCGCAGUACAUCUCGCGCUUUGCACUCAUAACGACAGCGUCCAAAAGUACAUUUUACACUCUUGACCUCGGAUCAGGUAGGGAUACCCGCUGAACUUAAGCAUAUCAAUAAGCGGAGGA
RNAcentral lists this unclassified non-coding RNA (337 nucleotides) under soil metagenome. RNAcentral's name for it is "partial contains 5.8S ribosomal RNA, internal transcribed spacer 2, and large subunit ribosomal RNA". The stretch from base 1 to 121 matches the Rfam family "5.8S ribosomal RNA", at positions 35 to 154 of the family's 154-position model. The record is from RNAcentral.